This is a long non-coding RNA of Brassica napus (rape), 1266 nucleotides long. RefSeq lists it as uncharacterized. The record is from RefSeq and is a predicted model, not a curated record. NCBI's taxonomy places the organism in Eukaryota, Viridiplantae, Streptophyta, Magnoliopsida, Brassicales, Brassicaceae. The transcript is spliced from 5 exons.
UACUAUAUAAAAGAGACUAAAUUGGAGUUCUCUAAACACUGCCAUAUGGUCACAAAUAUUCCUAGCCAAUUAAAUUGCCAUAUCAUCAAGGACUCGUCUUGAAAAAAAAAUUAAGUUAGCUGCCCAGCCCAUUUAAACCAUUACAUAGCCCAAUAUGUUAAUAUGAUAAGAGACGGUUCAGGUUAUAUCCCUUUAUCGAUCCCGUGUCUCUGAAAAUCACUCAUCCUCCCUAACCCUAAGCGCCGUCUCAGACCCUUUGUCGAUUCUCUUCCUCUCCCCCACCUUCCUAAACGCUCCCAGUUAAUCUCCUUUAUCAAGCGUACAAAGAAUCUUCGUAACUGUCUUCAGAUGCUGCUGUUGCGCAAUGCCUUCGACGCUCUUCGCCUCGGUCGAUCGUCGCAGUUCGUUAUCGCUCGGCUUCUCCGUUUUUGGGACUCGGAAAGUAUGAAGAACAUGGUGAAUUCAUAGAAUCACUCUACUUAUCCUUGAUGAGAAGGACCUCCUAUAGUCUCAAAGAGACUGAUGUGGCUGUAUUGGAAUCUUGACCCAUAAGGUGAUGAUUACUCUUUACGCACAGAUGGUGAUACCAUGCAUAGUUUGAUCAAACUCCGUUUAGGUUUUCUUUAGGGAAACAAAUGAAGGUAAAAAGCCAAGAGCAGAAACUAGCUGUGCCGGAACCAGCAUUGAUCAAGGACCUUGAUUCAAGGAAGAGAGAAUAUCCUUUUUGAGCAAUGGCUCGAUUGAUCAAGGAGAAACAGUGUUUUUCUAAAGCAAUGGGUACUGAAAACCUCCCCUUAAGUUGCAUUAAAGAAGCCAUCAUCAUUGAUGAAAGCAGGAAAGAGCCUGCUAUAUUGAUGACGAUUGUGAUCACAGAGAAAGACACAAAGAAAUUUGAGCUUGGAUUCAGCAGGUGGUGGUAGCCAACAAGAUGAUACAAUCGUUGAGAGAUGUAACCCAUUGAGAGGAGAGAUAUAAGAAGCUCAUGAUUUGGUUUAAAAGAUGAGAUAUAAGAAGCUCGUGAUUUGGUUUAACAGAUGACAUAUAUAAGAGUUGAGGUUAAGUAGAAAUGUUAACCUUUGUGUUACGGUCAUUUGUUUGUCUUUUUCUGUCUCUGCAAUACAAACAGCUUUUACUCUGUUGUUUUUCCUUUUGGUUUCAGUUUGAAGCAAAAGCUAUGAAUCUGUCAUUUGUGUCAUCUGAGAUUAGACUUUUUGUUUGUAAUUGAUUAUUGUUUCUUUGGCAGCAAACAAAGCCUUGGAUUUUAAA